UAGGGAAUCUUCCACAAUGGACGCAAGUCUGAUGGAGCAACGCCGCGUGAGUGAAGAAGGCUUUCGGGUCGUAAAACUCUGUUAUUGAAGAAGAACGUGCGUGACAGUAACUGGUCAUGCAGUGACGGUAUUCAAUCAGAAAGUCACGGCUAACUACGUGCCAGCAGCCGCGGUAAUACGUAGGUGGCAAAGCGUUGUCC
Molecule: ribosomal RNA, 200 nt
Filed under: uncultured bacterium
Lineage: Bacteria
Description: partial 16S ribosomal RNA
Rfam family: Bacterial small subunit ribosomal RNA
Source: RNAcentral